This 611-nucleotide ribosomal RNA is filed under the name uncultured bacterium. Its description in RNAcentral is "bacterial SSU rRNA". It matches the Rfam family "Bacterial small subunit ribosomal RNA", at positions 338 to 950 of the family's 1533-position model. The record is from RNAcentral.
CCUACGGGAGGCAGCAGUGAGGAAUAUUGGACAAUGGGCGCAAGCCUGAUCCAGCCAUGCCGCGUGCAGGAUGACGGUCCUAUGGAUUGUAAACUGCUUUUGUACAGGAAGAAACCCUUUCACGUGUGAAAGAUUGACGGUACUGUAAGAAUAAGGAUCGGCUAACUCCGUGCCAGCAGCCGCGGUAAUACGGAGGAUCCAAGCGUUAUCCGGAAUCAUUGGGUUUAAAGGGUCCGUAGGCGGUCAGAUAAGUCAGUGGUGAAAGCCCAUCGCUCAACGGUGGAACGGCCAUUGAUACUGUCUGACUUGAAUUAUUAGGAAGUAACUAGAAUAUGUAGUGUAGCGGUGAAAUGCUUAGAGAUUACAUGGAAUACCAAUUGCGAAGGCAGGUUACUACUAAUGGAUUGACGCUGAUGGACGAAAGCGUGGGUAGCGAACAGGAUUAGAUACCCUGGUAGUCCACGCCGUAAACGAUGGAUACUAGCUGUUGGGAGCAAUCUCAGUGGCUAAGCGAAAGUGAUAAGUAUCCCACCUGGGGAGUACGUUCGCAAGAAUUGAAACUUCAAAUUGAAUUGACGGCUUGAGACGNGCGAGACGACACGAGGAGGAGG